CAAAGGUUUGGGCUGCCAACUAUGAUCUUCAACAUGAUUUGAUCGUUAUACCCUUUUCACAUGUUCAUGCUAGAUACUCCAAGCUAGGAAUGUUAAAAUGGGUUCAACUUAACAUAAUUAAUCCUAACCAUGUAUCAAAAUCUUUUACCAUAACUCUAAUUUUUGAGAUAUGGUUAAAACAAGGUUGAACAAACAUGAAUAUAUAAGGUUUAAGUUUUUAGCCCGUUGGUUUGCUCCACACCAUUUUUAUACAAUAUUUAAAUAUAUAUUCAAAUUUAUUCAAUUAUGCAAAAUUGGAAAAUCAAAAUUUUACAUUAAAAUCACAAAAUCUUGUUUUUUGCCACAAUCCCAAGAUGAAAUCUUCUGUUUAAAUUGAAAAUCAAGUUUUUUCACCAAAAUCAAAAAUCGAGUUUUUUCACCAAAAUCAAAAAAUCAAGUUUUCCCUCCAAACCAGAAAAUCAAGAUUUCCCAAUAAAUCACAAAAUUAUAUUUUACGCCAAAACCAAAAAAUGAGUUCUCCACUAAAACCGAAAAAAUUAAAUUUUCCCGCCAAACCUAAAAAUUAAGUUUUCCCACCAAACCGCAAAAUCAAGUUUUCCCAUCAAAAACACAAAAUCGAUUUUCCCCACCAAAAUCAAAAGUUUCCGCCUAACCGAAAAUCAAGUUUUCCCGUCUAAC
Molecule: long non-coding RNA, 678 nt
Filed under: Brassica napus (rape)
Lineage: Eukaryota; Viridiplantae; Streptophyta; Magnoliopsida; Brassicales; Brassicaceae
Description: long non-coding RNA (BNAP_LNC012057)
Source: RNAcentral